Molecule: small RNA, 574 nt
Filed under: Pan troglodytes (chimpanzee)
Lineage: Eukaryota; Metazoa; Chordata; Mammalia; Primates; Hominidae
Description: processed transcript
Source: RNAcentral
CCUUCCAGGCGCGGCCAGCGGGGGCAAGAGCGAGGUGGCUGCGAGGAGGCGUCACUGAAAGCCCUGACUUGGGGAAGGCUGCGGGCUCGGAGCCGGAGACGCCGAGCUGGGGCCGGGUGGCAUUUUUCUGAAACUGUUGAUUAAGACUUCCCAGCAUUCCUACAGAUAUAAAUAGGUGAGGCCGCAGGCGGUGCUCUGGGUCCGGGAGCGCUGUCCCCAGCAUGAACGCGGCCGGCGGCGGGAGUGAAUGACUGCAGCUGCGACUUCCUUCCCGGGCCGCCCGAGCCUCCUUCCCCACCGACUUUCUUGUUUUGAUUAACUCCGUGGACUCCUGACUCUUUCUUCGCCCGGAACAUCAAUAUGUGUCAUGUCAUUGUCACCUGUCGCUCGAUGCUCUGGACCUUGCUGAGUAUUGUGGUGGCUUUUGCCGAGCUCAUUGCCUUCAUGAGUGCAGACUGGCUGAUCGGGAAAGCGAGGAGCCGCGGCGGGGUGGAGCCGGCGGGCCCGGGCGGGGGCUCCCCGGAGCCCUACCACCCCACCCUGGGCAUCUACGCCCGCUGCAUCCGGAACCCAG